CNAGGAGGGUCNAGCGUUAUCGGAAUUACUUGGGCGUAAAGCGUACGUAGGCGGUUAUUUAAGUCAGGUGUGAAAGCCCCGGGCUCAACCUGGGAACUGCAUUUGAAACUGGAUAACUCGAGUUUAGUAGAGGGGAGUGGAAUUUCAGGUGUAGCGGUGAAAUGCGUAGAGAUCUGAAGGAACACCAGUGGCGAAGGCGACUCCCUGGACUAAAACUGACGCUGAGGUACGAAAGCGUGGGUAGCAAACAGGAUUAGAUACCCUGGUAGUCCACGCCGUAAACGAUGUCAACUAACCGUUGGGCCUAAUUACAGGCUUAGUGGUGGAGCUAACGUAUUAAGUUGACCGCCUGGGGAGUACGGCCGCAAGGUUAAAACUCAAAUGAAUUGACGGGGGCCCGCACAAGCGGUGGAGCAUGUGGUUUAAUUCGAUGCAACGCGAAGAACCUUACCUACCCUUGACAUCCUCAGAACUUGUUAGAAAUAACUUGGUGCCUUCGGGAACUGAGUGACAGGUGCUGCAUGGCUGUCGUCAGCUCGUGUCGUGAGAUGUUGGGUUAAGUCCCGUAACGAGCGCAACCCUUAUCCUUAGUUGCCAGCACAUAAUGGUGGGAACUCUAAGGAGACUGCCGGUGAUAANCCGGANGAAGGUGGGGACGACGUCAAGUCAUCAUGGCCCUUACGGGUAGGGCUACACACGUGCUACAA
Molecule: ribosomal RNA, 707 nt
Filed under: uncultured bacterium
Lineage: Bacteria
Description: bacterial SSU rRNA
Rfam family: Bacterial small subunit ribosomal RNA
Source: RNAcentral